UCCGCAACGGAGAGGAACGUCUCAGGAGACUGCCGUCGGAGUAACACGGAGGAAGGUGGGGAGUGACGUCAAAUCAUCAUGGCCUUUAUGUCCAGGGCUACACACGUGAUACAAUGGUACAGACAGAGGGCUGCAAGACCGUAAGGUGGAGCCAAUCCCUAAACUGUAUCCCAGUUCAGAUCGAGGGCUGCAAUUCGCCCUCGUGAAGUUGGAAUCGCUAGUAAUCGCAGAUCAGCAGGCUGCGGUGAAUACGUUCCCGGGCCUU
This 265-nucleotide ribosomal RNA is filed under the name uncultured bacterium. RNAcentral's name for it is "partial 16S ribosomal RNA". It matches the Rfam family "Bacterial small subunit ribosomal RNA", at positions 1120 to 1382 of the family's 1533-position model. The record is from RNAcentral.